Molecule: ribosomal RNA, 373 nt
Filed under: uncultured bacterium
Lineage: Bacteria
Description: bacterial SSU rRNA
Rfam family: Bacterial small subunit ribosomal RNA
Source: RNAcentral
ACGAACCGUACAAACGUUACUCGGAAUUACUGGGCUUAAAGGGUGCGUAGGCUGCGCGGAAAGUUGGGUGUGAAAGCCCUCAGCUCAACUGGGGAAUUGCAUUCAAAACUACCGUGCUCGAGGGAGACAGAGGUAAGCGGAACUCAAGGUGGAGCGGUGAAAUGCGUUGAUAUCUUGAGGAACACCGGUGGCGAAAGCGGCUUACUGGGUCUUUUCUGACGCUGAGGCACGAAAGCUAAGGUAGCAAACGGGAUUAGAUACCCCGGUAGUCUUAGCUGUAAACGAUGAGCACUUGUUUGAAGGGUCCUCCAUAGCCUUUCAGACGUAGCGAAAGUGUUAAGUGCUCCGCCUGGGGAGUAUGGUCGCAAGGCUG